ACGAACGCUGGCGGCAUGCCUAACACAUGCAAGUCGAACGAGACCUUCGGGUCUAGUGGCGCACGGGUGCGUCACGCGUGGGAAUCUGCCCUUAGGUUCGGAAUAACUCCCCGAAAGGGGUGCUAAUACCGGAUAAUGUCUUCGGACCAAAGAUUUAUCGCCUUUGGAUGGGCCCGCGUUGGAUUAGCUAGUUGGUAGGGUAAAAGCCUACCAAGGCGACGAUCCAUAGCUGGUCUGAGAGGAUGAUCAGCCACACUGGGACUGAGACACGGCCCAGACUCCUACGGGAGGCAGCAGUGGGGAAUAUUGGACAAUGGGCGAAAGCCUGAUCCAGCAAUGCCGCGUGAGUGAUGAAGGCCUUAGGGUUGUAAAGCUCUUUUACCCGGGAUGAUAAUGACAGUACCGGGAGAAUAAGCUCCGGCUAACUCCGUG
Molecule: ribosomal RNA, 432 nt
Filed under: uncultured bacterium
Lineage: Bacteria
Description: partial 16S ribosomal RNA
Rfam family: Bacterial small subunit ribosomal RNA
Source: RNAcentral